RNAcentral lists this ribosomal RNA (497 nucleotides) under uncultured bacterium. RNAcentral's name for it is "partial 16S ribosomal RNA". It matches the Rfam family "Bacterial small subunit ribosomal RNA", at positions 36 to 507 of the family's 1533-position model. The record is from RNAcentral.
CCUUCCCCCUUCCUUCGUGCCUAAUCGCUCCAAGUCACGCGUACAGACGAGGCGUUUUCUCUUGUGAUGUUAGCGGCGCACGAGGUUGUAACACGUAGGUUCCCUACCUUUAAGACUGGGAUAACGUCGGGAACCCGGAGCUAAUGCCGGGUAAUAUUUGAAGCAGCAUGGUUCGAUAGUGAAAGAUGGUUUUGCUAUCACUUAUAGAUGGACCUGCGCCGUAUUAGCUAGUAGGUAAGGUAACGGCUUACCAAGGCAACGAUACGUAGACGACCUGAGAGGGUGAGCGGCCACACGGGAACUGCGACACGGUCCAGACUCCUACGGGAGGCAGCAGUAGGGAAUCGUCCGCAAGGGGCGGAAGCCUGACGGAGCAACGCCGCGUGAGUGAUGAAGGUCUGCGGAUCGUAAAGCUCUGGUAUUAGGGAAGAACAAACGGGUAAGUGACUGUGCACGUCUAGACGGUACCUAAUCAGAAAGCCACGGCGAACUACGUG